CUCUCUCUCAAUACCAAUAAAUAUCACCACCGUCCUUCUCUCCUAUCACUAUUCAAUCUAUCGCAAACUCCUUUAUGUCUCUCCAAUUUUAUGAGAGGGUUUCCUUCAAGAACACAGUAAAAUAGAUUGGAUCUUUAAACUUUUGUUCCUUUUCAUGAGGG
This 161-nucleotide unclassified non-coding RNA is filed under the name Arabidopsis thaliana (thale cress). RNAcentral's name for it is "partial MIR394a microRNA precursor transcript form 2". Lineage: Eukaryota; Viridiplantae; Streptophyta; Magnoliopsida; Brassicales; Brassicaceae. The record is from RNAcentral.